Mustela erminea (ermine) is the source of this 326-nucleotide long non-coding RNA. RefSeq lists it as uncharacterized. NCBI's taxonomy places the organism in Eukaryota, Metazoa, Chordata, Mammalia, Carnivora, Mustelidae. The transcript has 3 exons. The record is from RefSeq and is a predicted model, not a curated record.
GUCUCUUGUUUUCUACAUCAACUUUACACAUAAGGGACAGCUUUAAAAGAAAAGCAAAUUCAAGAUGGAUUUAUUCAAGAAGAGGCAGGCUUUAGGAGAACAAAACAAGACAUCACCAGGGAAGACUGACUUUGUGUAUGCCAUCUUUUCAAACCUGAGAUUACAAAUUGUAGCAUACUUUGGAAGCAAGUAAUAGAAAAUUCGAUUCCAUCCCGAAAAUUUGAUUCCAUGCAUGAAAGCAGAAUGGGUGUCAGGGUUGGCUUAACUUACAGGAAUUGGGAAGAGUUUGUGUGCAGAAGUAGACUAGACUUUAGGGCAAGCUUAAU